UUGAACGCUGGCGGCAUGCUUUACACAUGCACGUCGAACGGUAACAGGCCGCAAGGUGCUGACGAGUGGCGAACGGGUGAGUAAUGCAUCGGAACGUGCCCAGUCGUGGGGGAUAACUACUCGAAAGAGUAGCUAAUACCGCAUACGAUCUAUGGAUGAAAGCGGGGGACCGUAAGGCCUCGCGCGAUUGGAGCGGCCGAUGUCAGAUUAGGUAGUUGGUGGGGUAAAGGCUCACCAAGCCAACGAUCUGUAGCUGGUCUGAGAGGACAACCAGCCACACUGGGACUGAGACACGGCCCAGACUCCUACGGGAGGCAGCAGUGGGGAAUUUUGGACAAUGGGCGCAAGCCUGAUCCAGCAAUGCCGCGUGCAGGAAGAAGGCCUUCGGGUUGUAAACUGCUUUUGUACGGAACGAAACGGCUCUGGUUAAUACCCGGGGCUAAUGACGGUACCGUAAGAAUAAGCACCGGCUAACUACGUG
RNAcentral lists this ribosomal RNA (481 nucleotides) under uncultured bacterium. Its description in RNAcentral is "partial 16S ribosomal RNA". It matches the Rfam family "Bacterial small subunit ribosomal RNA", at positions 30 to 507 of the family's 1533-position model. The record is from RNAcentral.